AACGAACGCUGGCGGCAUGCCUAACACAUGCAAGUCGAACGAGACCUUCGGGUCUAGUGGCGCACGGGUGCGUAACGCGUGGUAACCUGCCCUUAGGUUCGGAAUACCUCCCCGAAAGGGGUGCUAAUACCGGAUAAUGUCUUCGGACCAAAGAUUUAUCGCCUUUGGAUGGGCCCGCGUUGGAUUAGCUAGUUGGUAGGGUAAAAGCCUACCAAGAGGACGAUCCAUAGCUGGUCUGAGAGGAUGAUCAGCCACACUGGGACUGAGACACGGCCCAGACUCCUACGGGAGGCAGCAGUGGGGAAUAUUGGACAAUGGGCGAAAGCCUGAUCCAGCAAUGCCGCGUGAGUGAUGAAGGCCUUAGGGUUGUAAAGCUCUUUUACCCGGGAUGAUAAUGACCGUACCGGGAGAAUAAGCUCCGGCUAACUCCGUG
Molecule: ribosomal RNA, 433 nt
Filed under: uncultured bacterium
Lineage: Bacteria
Description: partial 16S ribosomal RNA
Rfam family: Bacterial small subunit ribosomal RNA
Source: RNAcentral